Molecule: ribosomal RNA, 2921 nt
Filed under: Staphylococcus aureus M67929_020413
Lineage: Bacteria; Bacillati; Bacillota; Bacilli; Caryophanales; Staphylococcaceae
Description: bacterial LSU rRNA
Rfam family: Bacterial large subunit ribosomal RNA
Source: RNAcentral
UUAAGUUAUUAAGGGCGCACGGUGGAUGCCUUGGCACUAGAAGCCGAUGAAGGACGUUACUAACGACGAUAUGCUUUGGGGAGCUGUAAGUAAGCUUUGAUCCAGAGAUUUCCGAAUGGGGAAACCCAGCAUGAGUUAUGUCAUGUUAUCGAUAUGUGAAUACAUAGCAUAUCAGAAGGCACACCCGGAGAACUGAAACAUCUUAGUACCCGGAGGAAGAAAAAGAAAAUUCGAUUCCCUUAGUAGCGGCGAGCGAAACGGGAAGAGCCCAAACCAACAAGCUUGCUUGUUGGGGUUGUAGGACACUCUAUACGGAGUUACAAAGGACGACAUUAGACGAAUCAUCUGGAAAGAUGAAUCAAAGAAGGUAAUAAUCCUGUAGUCGAAAAUGUUGUCUCUCUUGAGUGGAUCCUGAGUACGACGGAACACGUGAAAUUCCGUCGGAAUCUGGGAGGACCAUCUCCUAAGGCUAAAUACUCUCUAGUGACCGAUAGUGAACCAGUACCGUGAGGGAAAGGUGAAAAGCACCCCGGAAGGGGAGUGAAAUAGAACCUGAAACCGUGUGCUUACAAGUAGUCAGAGCCCGUUAAUGGGUGAUGGCGUGCCUUUUGUAGAAUGAACCGGCGAGUUACGAUUUGAUGCAAGGUUAAGCAGUAAAUGUGGAGCCGUAGCGAAAGCGAGUCUGAAUAGGGCGUUUAGUAUUUGGUCGUAGACCCGAAACCAGGUGAUCUACCCUUGGUCAGGUUGAAGUUCAGGUAACACUGAAUGGAGGACCGAACCGACUUACGUUGAAAAGUGAGCGGAUGAACUGAGGGUAGCGGAGAAAUUCCAAUCGAACCUGGAGAUAGCUGGUUCUCUCCGAAAUAGCUUUAGGGCUAGCCUCAAGUGAUGAUUAUUGGAGGUAGAGCACUGUUUGGACGAGGGGCCCCUCUCGGGUUACCGAAUUCAGACAAACUCCGAAUGCCAAUUAAUUUAACUUGGGAGUCAGAACAUGGGUGAUAAGGUCCGUGUUCGAAAGGGAAACAGCCCAGACCACCAGCUAAGGUCCCAAAAUAUAUGUUAAGUGGAAAAGGAUGUGGCGUUGCCCAGACAACUAGGAUGUUGGCUUAGAAGCAGCCAUCAUUUAAAGAGUGCGUAAUAGCUCACUAGUCGAGUGACACUGCGCCGAAAAUGUACCGGGGCUAAACAUAUUACCGAAGCUGUGGAUUGUCCUUUGGACAAUGGUAGGAGAGCGUUCUAAGGGCGUUGAAGCAUGAUCGUAAGGACAUGUGGAGCGCUUAGAAGUGAGAAUGCCGGUGUGAGUAGCGAAAGACGGGUGAGAAUCCCGUCCACCGAUUGACUAAGGUUUCCAGAGGAAGGCUCGUCCGCUCUGGGUUAGUCGGGUCCUAAGCUGAGGCCGACAGGCGUAGGCGAUGGAUAACAGGUUGAUAUUCCUGUACCACCUAUAAUCGUUUUAAUCGAUGGGGGGACGCAGUAGGAUAGGCGAAGCGUGCGAUUGGAUUGCACGUCUAAGCAGUAAGGCUGAGUAUUAGGCAAAUCCGGUACUCGUUAAGGCUGAGCUGUGAUGGGGAGAAGACAUUGAGUCUUCGAGUCGUUUAUUUCACACUGCCGAGAAAAGCCUCUAGAUAGAAAAUAGGUGCCCGUACCGCAAACCGACACAGGUAGUCAAGAUGAGAAUUCUAAGGUGAGCGAGCGAACUCUCGUUAAGGAACUCGGCAAAAUGACCCCGUAACUUCGGGAGAAGGGGUGCUCUUUAGGGUUAACGCCCAGAAGAGCCGCAGUGAAUAGGCCCAAGCGACUGUUUAUCAAAAACACAGGUCUCUGCUAAACCGUAAGGUGAUGUAUAGGGGCUGACGCCUGCCCGGUGCUGGAAGGUUAAGAGGAGUGGUUAGCUUCUGCGAAGCUACGAAUCGAAGCCCCAGUAAACGGCGGCCGUAACUAUAACGGUCCUAAGGUAGCGAAAUUCCUUGUCGGGUAAGUUCCGACCCGCACGAAAGGCGUAACGAUUUGGGCACUGUCUCAACGAGAGACUCGGUGAAAUCAUAGUACCUGUGAAGAUGCAGGUUACCCGCGACAGGACGGAAAGACCCCGUGGAGCUUUACUGUAGCCUGAUAUUGAAAUUCGGCACAGCUUGUACAGGAUAGGUAGGAGCCUUUGAAACGUGAGCGCUAGCUUACGUGGAGGCGCUGGUGGGAUACUACCCUAGCUGUGUUGGCUUUCUAACCCGCACCACUUAUCGUGGUGGGAGACAGUGUCAGGCGGGCAGUUUGACUGGGGCGGUCGCCUCCUAAAAGGUAACGGAGGCGCUCAAAGGUUCCCUCAGAAUGGUUGGAAAUCAUUCAUAGAGUGUAAAGGCAUAAGGGAGCUUGACUGCGAGACCUACAAGUCGAGCAGGGUCGAAAGACGGACUUAGUGAUCCGGUGGUUCCGCAUGGAAGGGCCAUCGCUCAACGGAUAAAAGCUACCCCGGGGAUAACAGGCUUAUCUCCCCCAAGAGUUCACAUCGACGGGGAGGUUUGGCACCUCGAUGUCGGCUCAUCGCAUCCUGGGGCUGUAGUCGGUCCCAAGGGUUGGGCUGUUCGCCCAUUAAAGCGGUACGCGAGCUGGGUUCAGAACGUCGUGAGACAGUUCGGUCCCUAUCCGUCGUGGGCGUAGGAAAUUUGAGAGGAGCUGUCCUUAGUACGAGAGGACCGGGAUGGACAUACCUCUGGUGUACCAGUUGUCGUGCCAACGGCAUAGCUGGGUAGCUAUGUGUGGACGGGAUAAGUGCUGAAAGCAUCUAAGCAUGAAGCCCCCCUCAAGAUGAGAUUUCCCAACUUCGGUUAUAAGAUCCCUCAAAGAUGAUGAGGUUAAUAGGUUCGAGGUGGAAGCAUGGUGACAUGUGGAGCUGACGAAUACUAAUCGAUCGAAGACUUAAUCAA